GGGGUCUGCGUCCUAUUAGCUAGUUGGUAGGGUAACGGCCUACCAAGGCCAAGAUGGGUAGCGGGUGUGAGAGCACGACCCGCAUCACUGGGACUGAGACACUGCCCAGACACCUACGGGUGGCUGCAGUCGAGAAUCUUCGGCAAUGGGCGAAAGCCUGACCGAGCGACGCCGCGUGUGGGGUGAAGGCCUUCGGGUUGUAAACCGCUGUCAGUGGGGAGGAAAUGCUGGUGGGUUCUCCCAUCAGUUUGACCUAUCUGAAAGAGGAAGGGACGGCUAACUCUGUGCCAGCAGCCGCGGUAAUACAGAGGUCCCAAGCGUUGUUCGGAUUCACUGGGCGUAAAGGGUGCGUAGGCGGUGAGAAAAGUUUGGUGUGAAAGCUUCGAGCCUAACUCGAAAAUGGCAUCAAAAACUUUCUUGCUCGAGGGUUGGAGGGGAGACUGGAAUUCUCGGUGUAGCGGUGAAAUGCGUAGAUAUCGAGAGGAACACCAGUGGCGAAGGCGAGUCUCUGGACAACUCCUGACACUGAGGCACGAAAGCUAGGGGAGCGAACAGGAUUAGAUACCCUGGUAGUCCUAGCUGUAAACGGUGCACAUUUGCCGUGAGCGGAAUCGACCCCGUUCGUGGCGAAGCUAACGCGUUAAAUGUGCCGCCUGGGGAGUACGGUCGCAAGAUUAAAACUCAAAGAAAUUGACGGGGGCCUGCACAAGCGGUAGAGUAUGUGGCUUAAUUCGAUGCAACGCGAAGAACCUUACCUGGCCUUGACAUGCAAGUAGUAGAAGGAUGAAAGUCUGACGACCCCGCAAGGGGAGCUUGCACAGGUGCUGCAUGGCUGUCGUCAGCUCGUGUCGUGAGAUGUUGGGUUAAGUCCCGCAACGAGCGCAACCCCCGUGUCCUGUUGCCACUCCCGCGAGAGCGGGAAGCACUCUGGACAGACUGCCUCGUCUUAACGAGGAGGAAGGUGGGGAUGACGUCAAGUCAGGAUGGCCCUUACGGCCAGGGCCGCACACGUACUACAAUGCCCGGCACAGAGGGAAGCAAGACCGCAAGGUGGAGCAAAUCCCAAAAAACCGGGCUCAGUUCAGAUUGUCGGCUGCAAUUCGCCGGCAUGAAGCUGGAAUCGCUAGUAAUGGCGCAUCAGCUACGGCGCCGUGAAUACGUUCCCAGGCCUUGUACACACCGCCCGUCACAUCAUGAAAGCCGUUUGUACCCGAAGUCAGUGCGCCAACCGCAAGGAAGCAGCUGCCGAAGGUAUGGACGGUGAUUGGGAUGAAGUCGUAACAAGGUA
RNAcentral lists this ribosomal RNA (1288 nucleotides) under metagenome. RNAcentral's name for it is "bacterial SSU rRNA". It matches the Rfam family "Bacterial small subunit ribosomal RNA", at positions 226 to 1498 of the family's 1533-position model. The record is from RNAcentral.